AGCGAACGUUAGCGGCAGGCCUAACACAUGCAAGUCGCGCGAGAAUAGGGGCUUCGGCUCCUUAGUAAAGCGGCGGACGGGUGCGUAACACGUGGGUAAUGUGCCCUUCAGCGGGGGACAACAGUCCGAAAGGGCUGCUAAUACCGCAUACGUCGGCGAGAUCUUCGGGUUUCGCCGGGAAAGGUGGCCUCUUCUUGAAAGCUACCACUGAAGGAGCAGCCCGCGGCCCAUCAGCAGUUGGCGAGGUAAUGGCUCACCAAGGCUAAGACGGGUAGCUGGUCUGAGAGGAUGAUCAGCCACACUGGAACUGAGACACGGUCCAGACUCCUACGGGAGGCAGCAGUGGGGAAUAUUGGGCAAUGGGCGCAAGCCUGACCCAGCCAUGCCGCGUGAGUGAUGAAGGCCU
Molecule: ribosomal RNA, 406 nt
Filed under: uncultured bacterium
Lineage: Bacteria
Description: bacterial SSU rRNA
Rfam family: Bacterial small subunit ribosomal RNA
Source: RNAcentral